This 102-nucleotide small nuclear RNA is filed under the name Spermophilus dauricus (Daurian ground squirrel). The record is from RNAcentral. Lineage: Eukaryota; Metazoa; Chordata; Mammalia; Rodentia; Sciuridae.
GUGCUCGCUCCGGCAGCACAUAUACUAAAAUUGGAACGAUACAGAGAAGAUUAGCAUGGCCCCUGAGCAAGGAUGAAAAUUUUAAAAAAAUAAAAUUAAAUU